GAUCCUGGCUCAGGAUGAACGCUAGCGGCAGGCUUAACACAUGCAAGUCGAGGGGCGAGCAUAAUGGAUAGCAAUAUCUAUGGUGGCGACCGGCGCACGGGUGCGUAACGCGUAUGCAACCUACCUUUAACAGGGGGAUAACACUGAGAAAUUGGUAACUAAUACCCCAUAAUAUCAUAGAAGGCAUCUUUAUGGUUGAAAAUUCCGAUGGUUAGAGAUAGGGCAUGCGUUGUAGUUAG
RNAcentral lists this ribosomal RNA (239 nucleotides) under uncultured bacterium. RNAcentral's name for it is "partial 16S ribosomal RNA". It matches the Rfam family "Bacterial small subunit ribosomal RNA", at positions 15 to 248 of the family's 1533-position model. The record is from RNAcentral.